RNAcentral lists this ribosomal RNA (380 nucleotides) under uncultured eukaryote. RNAcentral describes it as "partial 18S ribosomal RNA". It matches the Rfam family "Eukaryotic small subunit ribosomal RNA", at positions 592 to 976 of the family's 1831-position model. The record is from RNAcentral.
CAAUAGCGUAUAUUAAAGUUGUUGCGGUUAAAAAGCUCGUAGUUGGAUUUCUGUUGGGAACGACCGGUCCGCCCAUUGGGUGUGUAUCUGGCUUGUUCUCGGCAUCUUCUUGGUGAACGUUGCUGCACUUGACUGUGUGGAGCGCUACCCAGGACUUUUACUUUGAGGAAAUUAGAGUGUUUCAAGCAGGCAUAUGCCUUGAAUACAUUAGCAUGGAAUAAUAAGAUAGGACCUCGGUUCUAUUUUGUUGGUUUCUAGAGCUGAGGUAAUGAUUAAUAGGGAUAGUUGGGGGCAUUCGUAUUUAACUGUCAGAGGUGAAAUUCUUGGAUUUGUUAAAGUCGGACUACUGCGAAAGCAUUUGCCAAGGAUGUUUUCAUUGA